Molecule: ribosomal RNA, 1221 nt
Filed under: uncultured Enterobacteriaceae bacterium
Lineage: Bacteria; Pseudomonadati; Pseudomonadota; Gammaproteobacteria; Enterobacterales; Enterobacteriaceae
Description: bacterial SSU rRNA
Rfam family: Bacterial small subunit ribosomal RNA
Source: RNAcentral
GGGAAACUGCUGAUGGAGGGGGAUAACUACUGGAAACGGUAGCUAAUACCGCAUAACGUCGCAAGACCAAAGAGGGGGACCUUCGGGCCUCUUGCCAUCAGAUGUGCCCAGAUGGGAUUAGCUAGUAGGUGGGGUAACGGCUCACCUAGGCGACGAUCCCUAGCUGGUCUGAGAGGAUGACCAGCCACACUGGAACUGAGACACGGUCCAGACUCCUACGGGAGGCAGCAGUGGGGAAUAUUGCACAAUGGGCGCAAGCCUGAUGCAGCCAUGCCGCGUGUAUGAAGAAGGCCUUCGGGUUGUAAAGUACUUUCAGCGGGGAGGAAGGGAGUAAAGUUAAUACCUUUGCUCAUUGACGUUACCCGCAGAAGAAGCACCGGCUAACUCCGUGCCAGCAGCCGCGGUAAUACGGAGGGUGCAAGCGUUAAUCGGAAUUACUGGGCGUAAAGCGCACGCAGGCGGUUUGUUAAGUCAGAUGUGAAAUCCCAGGGCUCAACCUGGGAACUGCAUCUGAUACUGGCAAGCUUGAGUCUCGUAGAGGGGGGUAGAAUUCCAGGUGUAGCGGUGAAAUGCGUAGAGAUCUGGNAGGAAUNANNCCNNGGUGGCGAAGGCGGCCCCCUGGACGAAGACUGACGCUCAGGUGCGAAAGCGUGGGGAGCAAACAGGAUUAGAUACCCUGGUAGUCCACGCCGUAAACGAUGUCGACUUGGAGGUUGUGCCCUUGAGGCGUGGCUUCCGGAGCUAACGCGUUAAGUCGACCGCCUGGGGAGUACGGCNCGCNANANGGUUAAAACUCAAAUNGAAUUGACGGGGGCCCGCGCAAGCGGUGGAGCAUGUGGUUUAAUUCGAUGCAACGCGAAGAACCUUACCUGGUCUUGACAUCCACGGAAGUUUUCAGAGAUGAGAAUGUGCCUUCGGGAACCGUGAGACAGGUGCUGCAUGGCUGUCGUCAGCUCGUGUUGUGAAAUGUUGGGUUAAGUCCCGCAACGAGCGCAACCCUUAUCCUUUGUUGCCAGCGGUCCGGCCGGGAACUCAAAGGAGACUGCCAGUGAUAAAGUGGAGGAAGGUGGCGAUGACGUCAAGUCAUCAUGGCCCUUACGACCAGGGCUACACACGUGCUACAAUGGCGCAUACAAAGAGAAGCGACCUCGCGAGAGCAAGCGGACCUCAUAAAGUGCGUCGUAGUCCGGAUUGGAGUCUGCAACUCGACUCCAUGAAGUC